AGCAGCCGCCGCGGUAAUACGUAGGCAGCAAGCGUUGUUCGGAGUUACUGGGCGUAAAGGGUGUGUAGGCGGUUGUUUAAGUUGGGUGUGAAAUCUCCCGGCUCAACUGGGAGGGUGCGCCGAAUACUGAAUGACUAGAGUAUGGGAUGGGAGAGUAGAAUUCCUGGUGUAGCGGUGAAAUGCGUAGAUAUCAGGAGGAAUACCGGUGGUGUAGACGGCUCUCUGGACCAUUACUGACGCUGAGACACGAAAGCGUGGGUAGCAAACAGGAUUAGAUACCCCCGUAGUCCCUGUCUCUUAUAC
RNAcentral lists this ribosomal RNA (303 nucleotides) under uncultured bacterium. RNAcentral describes it as "partial 16S ribosomal RNA". It matches the Rfam family "Bacterial small subunit ribosomal RNA", at positions 507 to 807 of the family's 1533-position model. The record is from RNAcentral.